RNAcentral lists this ribosomal RNA (815 nucleotides) under uncultured bacterium. RNAcentral's name for it is "bacterial SSU rRNA". It matches the Rfam family "Bacterial small subunit ribosomal RNA", at positions 8 to 796 of the family's 1533-position model. The record is from RNAcentral.
AGAGUUUGAUCAUGGCUCAGAACGAACGCUGGCGGCGUGGAUAAGACAUGCAAGUCGAGCGCUGAUCACAGGGUAGCAAUAUUCUGUGGUUGGAGCGGCGCAAGGGUGCGUAACACGUGGGUAAUCUGCCAUGAAGUUUGGAAUAACUUGCUGAAAGGCGAGCUAAUACCGGAUGUGACGAUUGGGAGGCAUCUCCUGAUCUUCAAAGCUGGGGACCGUAAGGCCUGGCGCUUCAUGAUGAGCCCGCGGCCUAUCAGCUAGUUGGUGAGGUAACGGCUCACCAAGGCUAAGACGGGUAGCUGGUCUGAGAGGACGACCAGCCACACUGGAACUGAGACACGGUCCAGACACCUACGGGUGGCAGCAGUCGAGAAUUUUUCACAAUGGGCGCAAGCCUGAUGGAGCGACGCCGCGUGGGGGAUGAAUGGCUUCGGCCCGUAAACCCCUGUCAUUUGCGAACAAUUCGGUUCAAUUAACACCUGAACCGUUGAUAGUAGCGAAAGAGGAAGGGACGGCUAACUCUGUGCCAGCAGCCGCGGUAAUACAGAGGUCCCAAGCGUUGUUCGGAUUCACUGGGCGUAAAGGGUGCGUAGGUGGCAAGGAAAGUCGGAUGUGAAAUCUCGGAGCUCAACUCCGAAACUGCAUUGGAAACUACCUGGCUUGAGGGUUGGAGGGGGGACUGGAAUUCUCGGUGUAGCAGUGAAAUGCGUAGAUAUCGAGAGGAACACCAGUGGCGAAGGCGAGUCCCUGGACAACUCCUGACACUGAGGCACGAAAGCUAGGGGAGCAAACAGGAUUAGAUACCCUAGUAGUCC